Molecule: transfer-messenger RNA, 355 nt
Filed under: Rubrobacteraceae bacterium
Lineage: Bacteria; Bacillati; Actinomycetota; Rubrobacteria; Rubrobacterales; Rubrobacteraceae
Also listed under: 1 other name
Rfam family: transfer-messenger RNA
About the family: Bacterial tmRNA, also known as 10Sa RNA or SsrA, is named for its dual tRNA and mRNA-like properties. Its role is to liberate the mRNA from a stalled ribosome.
Source: RNAcentral
GGGGGCGCAUAGGCUUCGACGGGAGUGGUCAGCGUCCUGUGAGACGAGCCGAGUUUGCUGGAGACUCGUAAAACGCCGGCAGCAAAAGAUACACGCCAACGAUGAAAUGGCUCUGGCUGCUUAACUAAAAGGUAGCCCAUCGGUCCGGGCGGCCCACGGCCCGGUUCCCGGUGUCAUUGAGUGGGCUCACCCUCAGCGUUCUGGCCCGGAGCACCGAGGGGACAUUCAACGGGCUAGGCCUCGCGGCGGCGCCCCGGUCCGUCGCAGCAGGCGAGACUAAACCGGGAGCUAUGCUCGUAGAAUCUCACGGACGGCGCGCUCGCGGACGCGGGUUCGAAUCCCGCCGCCUCCACUG